This 253-nucleotide ribosomal RNA is filed under the name uncultured bacterium. Its description in RNAcentral is "partial 16S ribosomal RNA". It matches the Rfam family "Bacterial small subunit ribosomal RNA", at positions 524 to 776 of the family's 1533-position model. RNAcentral also lists the same sequence under 2 other names. The record is from RNAcentral.
UACGGAGGAUCCAAGCGUUAUCCGGAUUUAUUGGGUUUAAAGGGUGCGUAGGCGGAAUUGUAAGUCAGUGGUGAAAGCCCUUCGCUUAACGAAGGAACUGCCAUUGAUACUGCAAAUCUUGAGUACAUUUGAUGUGGGCGGAAUGUGUCAUGUAGCGGUGAAAUGCUUAGAUAUGACACAGAACACCGAUUGCGAAGGCAGCUCACAAAACUGUAACUGACGCUGAGGCACGAAAGCGUGGGUAUCAAACAGG